Molecule: ribosomal RNA, 253 nt
Filed under: uncultured bacterium
Lineage: Bacteria
Description: partial 16S ribosomal RNA
Rfam family: Bacterial small subunit ribosomal RNA
Source: RNAcentral
UACGUAGGGUGCGAGCGUUAAUCGGAAUUAUUGGGCGUAAAGGGCGCGUAGGCGGCUUUGCAAGUGACGGGUGAAAUCCCUCGGCUUAACCGAGGAACUGCCUGUCAAACUGCAUGGCUUGAGACCGGGAGAGGUGAGUGGAAUUCCCAGUGUAGCGGUGAAAUGCGUAGAUAUUGGGAGGAACACCAGUGGCGAAGGCGGCUCACUGGACCGGUACUGACGCUGAUGCGCGAAAGCGUGGGGAGCAAACAGG